Molecule: transfer RNA, 73 nt
Filed under: Acetobacteraceae bacterium
Lineage: Bacteria; Pseudomonadati; Pseudomonadota; Alphaproteobacteria; Acetobacterales; Acetobacteraceae
Also listed under: 2 other names
Description: tRNA-Ala
Rfam family: tRNA
About the family: Transfer RNA (tRNA) molecules are approximately 80 nucleotides in length.
Source: RNAcentral
GGGGGCGUAGCUCAGUUGGUAGAGCACCUGCUUUGCAAGCAGGGGGUCGUCGGUUCGAAUCCGGUCGCCUCCA